Lactuca sativa (garden lettuce) is the source of this 460-nucleotide non-coding RNA. The record is from RefSeq and is a predicted model, not a curated record. Lineage: Eukaryota; Viridiplantae; Streptophyta; Magnoliopsida; Asterales; Asteraceae.
UAACUACUCGCGGUACGGGGAAUCUGGUUUAAAGGGUCGCAUAGGGUUGUUGGAUUUCAGAAGUGCUAUAUGCCAAAAUGGUCCUGCCCUCCGGUGUUUUAUGUCUGGCCCCUGUCUGUACAUAGUGGUUGGAAAAUAUUGUUUAACGCUUAUAUAAUAAUAAUAAUACUAAGACUAAUAGUUGGUCACGAUAAAUAUUAGACUAAAAUUUAGCGAUAAUAAUGCUAGGUUUCGUCAAAGGAAAAUAGAAUCGUUAGAAGCAAGCGCUGCCCGAUUUUGGAAUCAUCACCUUAACAAGUAGUGGCGCAUGAGCAUAGGUGUGAUGUUUUGGACGAGGGAUUACAUAUAUAGGCCUGUAGAUAUGAAAUAAUGUAGUAAGGCUUAUAUUGUACUGUUUAUGCUUUUGAUCUGUACGAACAUGACAUCCCGAGUCUUUUAAUGAAAUACAUUUCUAUGGAAA